RNAcentral lists this ribosomal RNA (737 nucleotides) under uncultured bacterium. RNAcentral's name for it is "bacterial SSU rRNA". It matches the Rfam family "Bacterial small subunit ribosomal RNA", at positions 640 to 1373 of the family's 1533-position model. The record is from RNAcentral.
UUAGCAGCACAGAGAGGGGUUCAAGGCGUAUCUUCUUGAGUGAGCGGAGAAUUGCUUAUAUUGUCGAGACCCGUGUGCCGAAGCGCGCCUUACUGGAUCUGUACCUGACGUGAGGCUAAAAAGGCGUGGGCACCAACAAGGAAUAGAUCUCUGGAGUCCAACGCCAUAAACGAUAGAUACUAGUGUGGGAUCCAAUAAGGGAUUCGGUGCCGCAGCUAACGCAAUAAGUAUUCCACUGGGGAGUACGUCGCAAGAAAUGAACUCAGAGGAAAUUGACGGGGACCCGCACAAGCGGUGGAGCAUGUGGUUAAUUCGAAGCAACGCGAAGAACCCUUACCAAAUCUUGACAUCUGACUGACCGGUCCUUAACCGGACCUUUCCUUCGGGACAGUCAAGACAGGUGGUGCAUGGUUGUCGUCAGCUCGUGUCGUGAGAUGUUGGGGGGGGGUCCCGCAACGAGCACAACCCCUAAUAUUAGUAGCCAGCGGUUCGGCCGGGCAAAACUAGUAAGACUGCCGGGGAUAACCCGGAGGAAGGUGGGGAUGACGUCAAAUCAUCAUGCCCCUUACGAUUUGGGCUACACACGUGCUACAAUGGCUACUACAAAGAGCUGCGAACCCGUAAGGGCAAGCGAAUCUCAAAAAGGUAGUCUCAGUUCGGACUGUGGGCUGCAACCCGCCCACACGAAGUUGGAGUUGCUAGUAAUCCCGAAUCAGAAUGUCGGGGUGAAUGCGUCC